RNAcentral lists this ribosomal RNA (446 nucleotides) under uncultured bacterium. Its description in RNAcentral is "bacterial SSU rRNA". It matches the Rfam family "Bacterial small subunit ribosomal RNA", at positions 330 to 792 of the family's 1533-position model. The record is from RNAcentral.
CCCAGACUCCUACGGGAGGCAGCAGUGGGGGAUAUUGCACAAUGGGGGGAACCCUGAUGCAGCGACGCCGCGUGGGUGAAGAAGUAUUUCGGUAUGUAAAGCCCUAUCGGCAGGGAAGAAUUUAGACGGUACCUGACUAAGAAGCCCCGGCUAACUACGUGCCGGCAGCCGCGGUAAUACGUAGGGGGCAAGCGUUAUCCGGAUUCACUGGGUGUAAAGGGAGCGUAGACGGCCAUGCAAGCCUGGAGUGAAAGCCCGGGGCCCAACCCCGGGACUGCUCUGGGAACUGUGCGGCUGGAGUGCGGGAGGGGCAGGCGGAAUUCCUGGUGUAGCGGUGAAAUGCGUAGAUAUCAGGAGGAACACCGGCGGCGAAGGCGGCCUGCUGGACCGCGACUGACGUUGAGGCUCGAAAGCGUGGGGAGCAAACAGGAUUAGAUACCCCAGUA